CGGGUGAGUAACGCGUAGGUAACCUGCCUGGUAGCGGGGGAUAACUAUUGGAAACGAUAGCUAAUACCGCAUAAUAUUAAUUAUUGCAUGAUAAUUGAUUGAAAGGUGCAAAUGCAUCACUACCAGAUGGACCUGCGUUGUAUUAGCUAGUAGGUGAGGUAACGGCUCACCUAGGCGACGAUACAUAGCCGACCUGAGAGGGUGAUCGGCCACACUGGGACUGAGACACGGCCCAGACUCC
RNAcentral lists this ribosomal RNA (241 nucleotides) under uncultured Streptococcus sp. RNAcentral describes it as "partial 16S ribosomal RNA". It matches the Rfam family "Bacterial small subunit ribosomal RNA", at positions 103 to 339 of the family's 1533-position model. Lineage: Bacteria; Bacillati; Bacillota; Bacilli; Lactobacillales; Streptococcaceae. The record is from RNAcentral.